This 500-nucleotide ribosomal RNA is filed under the name uncultured bacterium. RNAcentral's name for it is "partial 16S ribosomal RNA". It matches the Rfam family "Bacterial small subunit ribosomal RNA", at positions 29 to 523 of the family's 1533-position model. The record is from RNAcentral.
AUUGAACGCUGGCGGAAUGCUUUACACAUGCAAGUCGAACGGCAGCACGGGGGCAACCCUGGUGGCGAGUGGCGAACGGGUGAGUAAUACAUCGGAACGUGCCCAGUCGUGGGGGAUAACGUAGCGAAAGUUACGCUAAUACCGCAUACGAUCUACGGAUGAAAGCGGGGGACCGUAAGGCCUCGCGCGAUUGGAGCGGCCGAUGUCAGAUUAGGUAGUUGGUGAGGUAAAGGCUCACCAAGCCGACGAUCUGUAGCUGGUAUGAGAGGACGACCAGCCACACUGGGACUGAGACACGGCCCAGACUCCGACGGGAGGCAGCAGUGGGGAAUUUUGGACAAUGGGCGCAAGCCUGAUCCAGCCACUCCGCGUGCAGGACGAAGGCCUUCGGGUUGUAAACUGCUUUUGUACGGAACGAAAAGGCUCUGGUUAAUACCUGGGGCUCAUGACGGUACCGUAAGAAUAAGCACCGGCUAACUACGUGCCAGCCGCCGCGGUAA